Molecule: ribosomal RNA, 501 nt
Filed under: uncultured bacterium
Lineage: Bacteria
Description: partial 16S ribosomal RNA
Rfam family: Bacterial small subunit ribosomal RNA
Source: RNAcentral
AUUGAACGCUGGCGGCAGGCUUAACACAUGCAAGUCGAGCGGGGGAAGGUAGCUUGCUACCGGACCUAGCGGCGGACGGGUGAAUAAUGCUUAGGAAUCUGCCUAUUAGUGGGGGACAACAUCUCGAAAGGGAUGCUAAUACCGCAUACGUCCUACGGGAGAAAGCAGGGGAUCUUCGGACCUUGCGCUAAUAGAUGAGCCUAAGUCGGAUUAGCGAGUUGGUGGGGUAAAGGCCUACCAAGGCGACGAUCUGUAGCGGGUCUGAGAGGAUGAUCCGCCACACUGGGACUGAGACACGGCCCAGACUCCUACGGGAGGCAGCAGUGGGGAAUAUUGGACAAUGGGGGGAACCCUGAUCCAGCCACGCCGCGUGUGUGAAGAAGGCCUUAUGGUUGUAAAGCACUUUAAGCGAGGAGGAGGCUACUCUAGUUAAUACCUAGGGAUAGUGGACGUUACUCGCAGAAUAAGCACCGGCUAACUCUGUGCCAGCCGCCGCGGUAA